AGUGAACGCUGGCGGCAGGCCUAACACAUGCAAGUCGAACGGUAACAGGAAGAAGCUUGCUUCUUUGCUGACGAGUGGCGGACGGGGGAGUAAUGUCUGGGAAACUGCCUGAUUUAGGGGGAGAACUACUGGGAACGGUAGCUAAUACCGCAUAACGUCCCAAGACCAAAAAGGGGGACCUUCGCGCCUCUUGCCCUCGGAUGUGCCCAGAUGGGAUUAGCUAGUAGGUGGGGUAACGGCUCACCUAGGCGACGAUCCCUAGCUGGUCUGAGAGGAUGAGCAGCCACACUGGAACUGAGACACGGUCCAGACUCCUACGGGAGGCAGCAGUGGGGAAUAUUGCACAAUGGGCGCAAGCCUGAUGCAGCCAUGCCGCGUGUAUGAAGAAGGCCUUCGGGUUGUAAAGUACUUUCAGCGGGGAGGAAGGGAGUAAAGUUAAUACCUUGGCUCAUUGACGUUACCCGAAGAAGAAGCACCGGCUAACUCCGUG
This 490-nucleotide ribosomal RNA is filed under the name uncultured bacterium. RNAcentral describes it as "partial 16S ribosomal RNA". It matches the Rfam family "Bacterial small subunit ribosomal RNA", at positions 29 to 507 of the family's 1533-position model. The record is from RNAcentral.